UUUUGACCGUGCAAAGGUAGCGCAAUCACUUGUCUCUUAAAUAGAGACCUGUAUGAAUGGCUAGACGAGGGCUUAACUGUCUCCCCCCUCCAGUCAGUGAAAUUGAUCUAUCCGUGCAGAAGCGGGUGUGAUUAUACAAGACGAGAAGACCCUUUGGAGCUUAAGGUACAAAAUUCAACCACGUUAAACGACUCUGUAAAAGGCAGGAACUUAGUGGCACAUGAAGUUUUACCUUCGGUUGGGGCGACCACGGAGGAGAGAAAAGCCUCCGAGUGGACUGGGCCAAGUCCCAAAGCUAAGAGAUACAUCUCUAAGCCGCAGAAUAUCUGACCAAAAUGAUCCGACUAAUAAAGUCGAUCAACGAACCAAGUUACCCUAGGGAUAACAGCGCAAUCCUCUCCCAGAGUCCAUAUCGACAAAGGG
This 423-nucleotide ribosomal RNA is filed under the name Leucaspius delineatus (sunbleak). RNAcentral describes it as "partial 16S ribosomal RNA". It matches the Rfam family "Bacterial large subunit ribosomal RNA", at positions 1940 to 2515 of the family's 2925-position model. The record is from RNAcentral. Lineage: Eukaryota; Metazoa; Chordata; Actinopteri; Cypriniformes; Leuciscidae.